GUCUAUGGCCUUACCACCCUGAUCUCGGAAGGUAAGCAGCUUUGGGGCCAGGUCAGUACUUACAUUGGAAGCCGCUUGGCAAUACCGGGGGCGGUAGGCU
Molecule: ribosomal RNA, 100 nt
Organism: Cercocebus atys (sooty mangabey)
Lineage: Eukaryota; Metazoa; Chordata; Mammalia; Primates; Cercopithecidae
Source: Ensembl